This 254-nucleotide ribosomal RNA is filed under the name uncultured bacterium. RNAcentral describes it as "partial 16S ribosomal RNA". It matches the Rfam family "Bacterial small subunit ribosomal RNA", at positions 524 to 776 of the family's 1533-position model. The record is from RNAcentral.
UACAGAGGGUGCAAGCGUUGUUCGGAAUUAUUGGGCGUAAAGGGCGCGUAGGCGGUGCCACAAGUCACCUGUGAAAUCUCCGGGCUUAACUCGGAGCCUGCAGGCGAAACUGUGGUGCUGGAGUGUGGGAGAGGUGCGUGGAAUUCCCGGUGUAGCGGUGAAAUGCGUAGAUAUCGAGAGGAACACCAGAGGGGAAGACGGGUUGCUGGGCCGACACUGACGCUGAUAGCGCGAAAGCCAGGGGAGCAAACGGG